AGUGAACGCUGGCGGUAGGCCUAACACAUGCAAGUCGAACGGCAGCACAGUAAGAGCUUGCUCUUACGGGUGGCGAGUGGCGGACGGGUGAGGAAUACAUCGGAAUCUACUUUUUCGUGGGGGAUAACGUAGGGAAACUUACGCUAAUACCACAUACGACCUACGGGUGAAAGCAGGGGAUCUUCGGACCUUGCGCGAUUGAAUGAGCCGAUGUCGGAUUAGCUAGUUGGCGGGGUAAAGGCCCACCAAGGCGACGAUCCGUAGCUGGUCUGAGAGGAUGAUCAGCCACACUGGAACUGAGACACGGUCCAGACUCCUACGGGAGGCAGCAGUGGGGAAUAUUGGACAAUGGGCGCAAGCCUGAUCCAGCCAUACCGCGUGGGUGAAGAAGGCCUGCGGGUUGUAAAGCCCUUUUGUUGGGAAAGAAAAGCAGCAGGUUAAUACCCCGCUGUUCUGACGGUACCCAAAGAAUAAGCACCGGCUAACUUCGU
RNAcentral lists this ribosomal RNA (491 nucleotides) under uncultured bacterium. Its description in RNAcentral is "partial 16S ribosomal RNA". It matches the Rfam family "Bacterial small subunit ribosomal RNA", at positions 29 to 506 of the family's 1533-position model. The record is from RNAcentral.